RNAcentral lists this long non-coding RNA (503 nucleotides) under Pan troglodytes (chimpanzee). Its description in RNAcentral is "long non-coding RNA NONPTRT009951". The record is from RNAcentral. Lineage: Eukaryota; Metazoa; Chordata; Mammalia; Primates; Hominidae.
UGUUUGCUCAUGAGCACACAGGCCAGGAGCUGUUUCGGGGGCCGCGGACAGGGCUAGAGGCGCGUUUGCCAGGCAGCGCGCUGCCCCUGCGCAUCGCCAGCCCUGACAGACGUGCACCACGGAAGGGACGUGAUUGUGGCUGCCUUCUCGGGAGACUCAAAUUCUUUGGAUCUGCACACGAUUCCUGGGUCCCAUCGGGGAUGACUGGAAACCCAGUCUGACCCAUCCCCGUUGAGUUCCGUGCCAACAGGCAUCUUGAUUUAUCCUUGCUUUCACACGUAGAACCAAAUGGGAUGAUUCGGACUGAAAUAAGCGGAGCGGAAAUUGCCGAAGAGAUGGAAAAGGAGAGGCGCUUCUUCCAGCUACAGAUGUGCGAGGUAAGGCGGUGGUGAAGGCAGGUCCUACAGCCCAGGCUGUGCUGGCUCUGCCCUCACCUGUGGGAGCGUCUCACCGGUACCAGCGGCUUCAGAGAAAACACCACAUGCAUUAGUGGACUCCCUUUG